Molecule: ribosomal RNA, 405 nt
Filed under: uncultured bacterium
Lineage: Bacteria
Description: partial 16S ribosomal RNA
Rfam family: Bacterial small subunit ribosomal RNA
Source: RNAcentral
AUUGAACGCUGGCGGCAGGCCUAACACAUGCAAGUCGAACGAGUGGCGGACGGGUGAGUAAUGUCUGGGAAACUGCCCGAUGGUGGGGGAUAACUAUUGGAACGGUAGCUAAUACCGCAUACCAUGGGGUGUGCCCAGAUGGGCUGGGCUAGUGGGUGGGGUAACGGCUCCCCUAGGCGACGAUCCCUGUAUGGUCGGAGAGGGUGACCAGCCACACUGGAACUGAGACACGGUCCAGACUCCUACGGGAGGCAGCAGUGGGGAAUAUUGGGCAAUGGGCGAAAGCCUGAUACAGCCAUGCCGCGUGUGUGAAGGAGGUCUUCGGAUUGUAAAGCACUUUAAGUUGGGAGGCGUUACCAACAGAAUAAGCACCGGCUAACUUCGUGCCAGCAGCCGCGGUAAUUC